Molecule: transfer RNA, 74 nt
Filed under: Armatimonadota bacterium
Lineage: Bacteria; Bacillati; Armatimonadota
Description: Armatimonadetes bacterium tRNA-Ile
Rfam family: tRNA
About the family: Transfer RNA (tRNA) molecules are approximately 80 nucleotides in length. Their secondary structure includes four short double-helical elements and three loops (D, anti-codon, and T loops). Further hydrogen bonds mediate the characteristic L-shaped molecular structure. tRNAs have two regions of fundamental functional importance: the anti-codon, which is responsible for specific mRNA codon recognition, and the 3' end, to which the tRNAs corresponding amino acid is attached (by aminoacyl-tRNA synthetases). tRNAs cope with the degeneracy of the genetic code in two manners: having more than one tRNA (with a specific anti-codon) for a particular amino acid; and 'wobble' base-pairing, i.e. permitting non-standard base-pairing at the 3rd anti-codon position.
Source: RNAcentral
GGGCCUAUAGCUCAGCUGGUUAGAGCGCACCCCUGAUAAGGGUGAGGUCCGAGGUCCGAAUCCUCGUAGGCCCA